Molecule: ribosomal RNA, 370 nt
Filed under: uncultured eukaryote
Lineage: Eukaryota
Description: partial 18S ribosomal RNA
Rfam family: Eukaryotic small subunit ribosomal RNA
Source: RNAcentral
CAAUAGCGUAUAUUAAGGUUGUUGCAGUUAAAAAGCUCGUAGUUGGAUUUCUGGUCGGAAGCUCCUGUCCUCUGAUGAGCGUACAAGUGCGUCCUACCAUCCUUCUGUUAACCUUUAAGGCUUUCGCGGCUUUCUAGGGGCUCAGAUAUUUUACCUUGAGAAAAUUAGAGUGUUUCAGGCAGGCUAGCGCCGGAAUACAUUAGCAUGGAAUAAUGGAAUAGGACUUUUGCCUCUUCUGUUGGUCAUGAGGCUCGAGUAAUGAUUAAUAGGGAUAGUUGGGGGCAUUAGUACUUAACUGUCAGAGGUGAAAUUCUCGGAUUUGUUAAAGACUAACUUAUGCGAAAGCAUUUGCCAAGGAUGUUUUCAUUAA